Molecule: long non-coding RNA, 1044 nt
Filed under: Callithrix jacchus (white-tufted-ear marmoset)
Lineage: Eukaryota; Metazoa; Chordata; Mammalia; Primates; Cebidae
Description: lncRNA (ENSCJAG00000073388.1)
Source: RNAcentral
AAAUUAGCUUGGUGUGGUGGCGUGCACUUGUGGUCCCAGCUGCUUGGGAGGCUGAGGUGGGAGGAUUGCUUGAGCACAGAAGGUAGAUGCUGCAGUGAGCUGGUAUCUCACCACUGCACUCCAGCCUUGGCAACAGAGGGAGACUUGUCUCAAGAAAGAAAAGGGAAGAAGGGAAGGGAAAGGAAGGGAAAAGGGAAGGGAAAAGGGAAGGGAAGAGGGGAGGGAAAAGGGAAGGGAAGAGGGGAGGGAAAAGGGAAGGGAAGGGGUGGGAAAAGGGAAGGGAAGGGGUGGGAAAAGGGAAGGGAAGGGGAGGGAAAAGGGAAGGGAAGGGGUGGGAAAAGGGAAGGGAAAGGGAAGGGAAGGGGUGGGAAAAGGGAAGGGAAGGGGUGGGAAAAGGAAGGGAAGGGGUGGGAAAAGGGAAGGGAAGGGGUGGGAAAAGGAAGGGAAGGGGUGGGAAAAGGGAAGGGAAGGGGUGGGAAAAGGGAAGGGGAGGGGAGGGAAAAGGGAAGGGAAGGGGAAGGGAAGGGGAGGGGAAAGGGAAGGGAAGGGGGAGGAAAAGGGAAGGGAGGGGGAGGGAAAGGGGAAGGGAAGGGGUGGGAAAAGGGAAGGGAAGGGGAGGGAAAAGGGAGGGGAAGGGGAGGGGAAAAGGGAAGGGGAGGGGGGAAAAGGGAAGGGAAGGGGAGGGGAAAGGGAAGGGAAGGGGUGGGAAAAGGGAAGGGAAGGGGUGGGAAAAGGGAAGGGAAGGGGCGGGAAAAGGGAAGGGAAGGGGAGGGGAAAGGGAAGGGAAGGGGCGGGAAAAAGGAAGGGAAGGGGCGGAAAAAGGGAAGGGAAGGGGAGGGAAGGGGAGGGGAAAGGGAAGGGAAGGGGCGGGAAAAGGGAAGGGAAGGGGAGGGAAGGGAAGGGAGGGGGGAGGGAAAGGGGAAGGGAAGGGGUGGGGAAAAGGGAGGGGAAAGGGGUGGGAAAAAGGAAGGGAAGGGGUGGGAAAAGGGAAGGGGAGGGGAGGGAAAAGGGAAGGGAAGGGGAAGGGAAGGGGCGGGAAAAGGG